AGUGAACGCUGGCGGUAGGCCUAACACAUGCAAGUCGAACGGCAGCACAGUAAGAUCUUGCUCUUACGGGUGGCGAGUGGCGGACGGGUGAGGCAUACAUCGGAAUCUACUUUUUCGUGGGGGAUAACGUAGGGCAGCUUACGCUAAUACCGCAUACGACCUACGGGUGAAAGCAGGAGAUCUUCGGACCUUUCGCGACUGAAUGAGCCGAUGUCGGAUUAGCUUGUUUGCUAGGUAAAGGCCCACCAAGGCGACGAUCCGUAGCCGAUCUGAGCGGAUGGUCAGCCACACUGGAACUGAGACACGGGCCAGACUCAUACGGUAGACAGCAGUAGGGAAUCUUCCGGAAUGGGCGAAAGCCGGACGGAGCAACGCCGCGUGAAGGAGGAAGGUCUGCUGAUCGUAAAACGCUGUGAUUAGGGAAAAACAAAUGUGUAAGCAACUAUGCACGGCUUGACGGUACCUAAUCAGAAAGCCACGGCUAACUACAUG
Molecule: ribosomal RNA, 492 nt
Filed under: uncultured bacterium
Lineage: Bacteria
Description: partial 16S ribosomal RNA
Rfam family: Bacterial small subunit ribosomal RNA
Source: RNAcentral